RNAcentral lists this ribosomal RNA (329 nucleotides) under uncultured eukaryote. RNAcentral's name for it is "partial 18S ribosomal RNA". It matches the Rfam family "Eukaryotic small subunit ribosomal RNA", at positions 1470 to 1796 of the family's 1831-position model. The record is from RNAcentral.
CCCUUAGAUGUUCUGGGCCGCACGCGCGCUACACUGAUGCAUUCAACGAGUCUAAAACCUGCUCUGAUAGGGGUGGGUAAUCUUUUGAAUGCGCAUCGUGAUUGGGAUAGAUGAUUGCAAUUUUUCAUCUUCAACGAGGAAUGCCUAGUAAACGCAAGUCAUCAGCUUGCAUUGAUUACGUCCCUGCCCUUUGUACACACCGCCCGUCGCUCCUACCGAUUGAAUGAUCCGAUGAAUAUCAUGGAUUGAGGAUGCAAGCAGGUUCGCCUGUCUUCAUCUUCGAGAAGUGAAGUAAAUCUUAUCAUUUAGAGGAAGGAGAAGUCGUAACA